This 426-nucleotide unclassified non-coding RNA is filed under the name Hevea brasiliensis (rubber tree). Lineage: Eukaryota; Viridiplantae; Streptophyta; Magnoliopsida; Malpighiales; Euphorbiaceae. The record is from RNAcentral.
AAUAUACUACAGCCCUAUGGAGUUCAAAACUCACAUUCUCAUGUCUCAUGUCAACAGGAAACAAUUAUCAAAGGUUGGAAUGAUAAAAAGGACAGAAUCAUAGCUACAAAGGCACUAUUUUUACAUAAUCAACAUUUGCAGAGAGAGAGAGAGAGAGAGAGAAGAUGUACUCAGCCUUCAUAAUCCACCUAAGCUCCCAAGCAAAAGGGCCCCAAAUAAUCAAGAUGGCCCCAGGAAAUAAUCACAGAAGAAAGCAAGUCUAAGAUGGACAAUGUGACCCUAAUACUUUCUUUUCAUGGAUUUAAUUAAACUGAUACCUUGUGUAAAUAUAUGUCACUCACUUCCCAAGUUUAGUGAACCAUCCUUCAUCAACUUCAUGCUUAGACUGUUAAAUCUUCCCCUGGAAUAAUGACGGGAAGCCUUCCU